AUUACUUUGGCAGAUUAGUGCUUUAAAUUUAGAAUUUAAGAAAGUGGGGUAAACACAAGUAAUA
Molecule: transfer RNA, 64 nt
Filed under: Polyphylla laticollis mandshurica
Lineage: Eukaryota; Metazoa; Arthropoda; Insecta; Coleoptera; Scarabaeidae
Description: tRNA-Leu
Source: RNAcentral